AACUUUAUUGAUAAAGCGUGGGCGCGUGCUGUCAACUACGAACCUGCAGUUUUUAGUUUAACGUGUUUUGUAUUUUUGGUUAUUUUUGUAAUUACGAAUUUAAUAUUUCAGAUAUUAGUAUUUUAUUUUAAAUAGAAUUCUAGAGGAGAAGAGAGAGAGAGUAUUUAAGGGAGGAAUCUAUUGUGAAAAAGGGGGAUUU
This 199-nucleotide long non-coding RNA is filed under the name Citrus maxima (pomelo). RNAcentral describes it as "long non-coding RNA (CMAX_LNC003122)". The record is from RNAcentral. Lineage: Eukaryota; Viridiplantae; Streptophyta; Magnoliopsida; Sapindales; Rutaceae.